GGAACAACCUGUCCAGCCAGGAAUGGCCUGCUUGAGCUUCUACGUUGCCUCUAAGAGCACAUGAUCCCCUCACAGAGUGUCUUAGUUAGGGCCUCUAUGCUGUGAUGAAGAAGUCAAGGCAAAAACUUGGAGGCAGGAGCUGGUGUGGAGACUGUGGCAUUGCUGCUUGCUCUCCAUGGCGUGUUCAGUCAGUUCCAUUUGUUUUGUUCAAAAACAGGGUCUCUUCUACAUAGCCCUGGCUCUUCUGGAACUCACCAUGCGGACCAGGCUGGCCUCCAACUCAUGGAGAUCCUACCUUGCCUCCUGAGUGCUAGGAUUAGAGGCCUGCACCAUUACACCAGGCUCAGCCUGCAUUCUUUUUUUCUUUCUUUCUUUCUUUUUUUUUUUCCGGAGCUGGGGACCGAACCCAGGGCCUUGUGCUUGCUAGGCAAGCGCUCUACCACUGAGCUAAAUCCCCAACCCCCUGCAUUCUUAUAAAACCCAGGACUACCAGCCCAGGGAUGACCCCACCUACAGUGGACUUGGCCCACACACAUCAAACACCAAUUUAAAAAAUGCCCUACAGGCUUGCCUGCAGCCCUGUCUUAUGAAGCAUUUUGUGGAUCGAGGUUCCCUCAUCUCAGAUGACUCUAGCCUGUGUCAAGAUGACAUAAAACUGGGCAGCACACAAGGAUUUGGAAAAGAGCUCCCCAGGGACCCAGGGGAGCAAGAGCCACUUCAGCCUUGAGACACGCAGAGCAUCAGGCAGGAACCUCAAUCUGGAGAGAGUGCUCAAAGCUAGAAGCAUUGCCACAGGCUCUCAGGGAAGCCAGACAGGCCUGGGACGUGGCUAAGCUCUGCCACUCUUCCUCCCUUAACACCAUCCAAGUCAUCUUCAACCCUCCCUUCUCAGGGACCCCUUUGAGAAGUGGAAGUGGAAUUAUGGGUAGAGGGUUCCGUUGUGUCAACGGUUCUACCGUAAGCAGAAUGAGCAGUGUUGACCAGGUGUUCUCUGGAGUGGCGGGUCUCAGCCUUCCUAAUGCUGUGACCCUUUAAUUCAGUCCCUCAUGGUGUGGUGACCCCCAACCAUAAAAUUAUUUCAUUGCUACUUCUUAAGUAGAAUUUCGCUACAGUUACAAAUCAUAAUGGAAAUACCUGAUAUGUAGGAUAUCUGAUAUGUGACCUUUAUGAAAGUCAGUCAUCCUCCAAAGGAGUCACGCCCCACGGGUUGAAAAACGCCAGAGGAACAGAAUUGAUAGAACAUACAUAAGAAGUAGGCCCUGAUGUCAGAAAAGGAACGGACUCGCUAGCAAGAGUGAAGGCAGGCAGAGAGAGGGGGCAAGCUUCCUUCCUCCAUGUCGUACGUAUAGGCUGCUAUCAGAAGGGGUGGCCCAGGUUAAAGAUGAAUCUUCCCACCUUAAAAGAUCCAGAUUAAAAUCGGGUCUUUCUCACGUUAAAUGAUUUAAUUAAGAAAGAAAGAAAAAAAAAGUCCCUCACAGUUGCCCUUGGCCGCUUGGGUCUUAGUUAAUUCCAGUUGUAGUCAAAUUGGCAACCCAAGAAUAGCCCCACACCAGGUGUACAGAGACGGGCGCACCAGGAUGUGACAUACAAACGUGUUGCUGAGUGCCCCACCCACACCCUGAAAGAACCCUAAGCCAGGCUGCCCAAGUUCUGCUUCGUGAGCCUAGACGGGGCUUGUGCUGGUUGAAAUGAGUUGUUUCUUCAUUUGUAGCCCUCCUCCCCCAUCCCCUUUCCAGGCAGCUCCAUCUUUCUUCCACUGAACUCCCAGAUCUGUCUCAGUGCCUGCCCUGUGUCCUAUCGGUUACUAGAUCAGCCUGGGGCACAACAAGUCCAGUGUGGAGGCGGGGGUUGGGGGUCGGCUCUCAGUGUCCUAGGCUGAUUCCAUGGGUUCCGUGGGCUCACCUCCCUCUACAGAUCUUCAUGUGUGUCUGCCACCUGUACGGUUGGGAGGCAGGUGCUUGUCACAAUUGACAAGCCCUACUAAUUAAUCAGAGGUUCCAGAAUGCAAGAAGCCCGUGGCACUGCUGACUGUCAUGGGAAGAGACACCAGGCCCUACCUAUUAGCCAUCAACUCUGAGCCCUAAUCCACUCUCCUGGGAGGUCGGGUUAGAGACCCCACAGGAAACAGUUGAAUUGGGGUAUGAUGACAUUUGUCUUUAAUCCCAGUGCUUGGGAGACCAAGGCAGGUGGAGCUCUGUGAGUUCAAGGACAGCCUGGUCUACAUAGCCAGUUCUACUCCAGCUGGAGUGACACGAUGAAACAAUGUUCCGAAACAAUAAUAAAAUGACAUUGGAAACAUGUAUUCA
RNAcentral lists this long non-coding RNA (2306 nucleotides) under Rattus norvegicus (Norway rat). RNAcentral's name for it is "long non-coding RNA NONRATT026181". Lineage: Eukaryota; Metazoa; Chordata; Mammalia; Rodentia; Muridae. The record is from RNAcentral.